Molecule: unclassified non-coding RNA, 337 nt
Filed under: uncultured fungus
Lineage: Eukaryota; Fungi
Description: partial contains 5.8S ribosomal RNA, internal transcribed spacer 2, and large subunit ribosomal RNA
Rfam family: 5.8S ribosomal RNA (bases 1-53)
Source: RNAcentral
GAACGCACAUUGCGCCCUCUGGUAUUCCAGGGGGCAUGCCUGUUUGAGCGUCAUUUCCUUCUCAAACAGCAAUGUUUGGUUGUGAGUGAUACUCUUUCGGAGUUAGCUUGAAAUUGCUGGCCGAUGGCUGUUGUGGUUGAGUGUCUCCCUUCGGGGAGAGCGCUUGCUGCGUUAAGGGACAUCCUGCUGGACAUCUUCGUAUUAGGUUCUACCAACUUCGAAGACGGUUAGCGGGGAGUUCUGCAGUGAGUGUAGUGCUUUUACUACGUUGCACCAUGGCGAACAGUGUUCUUUUAAGUUUGACCUCAAAUCAGGUAGGAUUACCCGCUGAACUUAA